RNAcentral lists this ribosomal RNA (497 nucleotides) under uncultured bacterium. RNAcentral's name for it is "partial 16S ribosomal RNA". It matches the Rfam family "Bacterial small subunit ribosomal RNA", at positions 28 to 507 of the family's 1533-position model. The record is from RNAcentral.
GAUGAACGCUGGCGGCGUGCCUAAUACAUGCAAGUCGAGCGAACAGAUCAGGAGCUUGCUCCUCUGACGUUAGCGGCGGACGGGUGAGUAACACGUGGAUACCCUCCCUAUAACACUGAGAUAACCUCGAGACACCGGAGAUAAUACCGGAUAAUCUAUUAAACCACCUUGUUCAAUUGUAAAAGACGGUUUUGAUGUAUGAUAUAGAUGGCUACGUGCCGCUUUAGCUAGUUGGUAAGGUAACGGCUUACCAAGGCUACGAUGCGUAGCCGAGCUGAGAGGGUGGUCGGCCACACUGGAGCUGAGACACGGACAAGACGCCUACGAGAGGCAGCAGUAGGGAAUCUGACGCAACAGGCGAAAGCCUGACGGAGCAAGGCCGCGUGAGUGAUGAAGGUCUUCGGAGCGUAAAACUCUGUUAUUAGGUAAGAACAAAUGUGUAAGUAACUAUGCACGUCGUGACGGUACCUAAUCAGAAAGCCACGGCUAACUACGUG